CAGUAUUUUGUUGCCAGCUAAACAUUUCAUUUCUUGUAUACAACUAUAUUUCGUUGCUGUUUUUUUUUAAUUUUUAUUUUUGUGUGUUUCUGCGGAUGCCACUCGGAGGCAGUUCAGCAUGAAGUCAUGCUUGGGCUCAGCUCCAGCCCCAUCUCUCGCACGCAUUCAUCUUAAUUAUGAAGUUUUUAUGAUGACAAUUUCGGGGGCUGCGUUUCACUCCAAGCAAAAAACUUCAAUUGUAGAUCAAGAUUGUAGUUUCUUCUGCCACUCCCAAUCUUAAUGCCAAGUGUAAACACCAGACCACCGCCGUGUCUGUUGUUCAUUAAGUGCAACAAAAACGCUGAGAAUGCAUAAAAAUAAUGCCAUAAAUUGAAUAAACAAUCCGAGCACAGUUUGCCAAUAAACAAACUUUAUGGACAAGUAAAUUAGUUUAGUGUUUACUCUGAUCUCCUCCUCCCACGACACGACUGCUAGAGGGUCUCACGAUCCGAAAUUUCAGCACUCGAUCGGAUCGGAUCGGAUCGGAUCACGUCACGUAUUCGGGAAGGGUAUGAUAAAAGACUCGUAUCAUACGGACGAAGAAAUGCAGCUGAUCCUGUGCAGCUGAACAUAUAUGCAUUUAUAGCUUAUCGUGUGAAGAACUUUACAUUAAUCACGACCCCCGUGCUACUUCCUCUUUCCGAAGUGUUGUCAUUUGCUGAUUUUACUUUUGCAGCUAUUCAGCAGCACAAAGAACUGUAGCAGACGAUUCGAUCGGGCAGUCAGAGCUAAUUUUGUUGGGAAAAUUUCAGGGGCUCCAGCUCUGUUUCCAAGUUCCAGAUGUUCCUCCAGAAGACUAAGGAGAACAGGGCUGAUAGGUUAUAUAUAAAUGCGAGUAUAUGUUCACUCAGAGAAAAAUGGAACGUCGAAAAUAAUCGUAUUACUAUUUUUAUAUAAAACUCGAAAUAAUCAGCCUUAUAAUGUGGAUAAGAACUUUUUGGCUUUCCGUUUCCUUUUUGACACACUUUUUGCUCAGUACGAU
Molecule: long non-coding RNA, 1021 nt
Organism: Drosophila obscura
Lineage: Eukaryota; Metazoa; Arthropoda; Insecta; Diptera; Drosophilidae
Exons: 3
Source: RefSeq, a predicted model, not a curated record